AUUGCUGUUUACCAUUCCGCACUCUACCCACGGAAUACCCAUUCAGCGUGUCUGAGUUUCAACUUUACCCUUCUCCCUCUUUUUCAUUCUCACGUCUGAAGCAUCUUCUUUUUUUCAUUCUUCUUCCCAUUUCCUUCCAACCCUCAACUCUAUCAACGAGCUUCACCAUUUCUCUUCUUGUUAUAUUGGUCUUCGUUCUCUAAACUCCAAAAACCUCGUGAAAUUAUCCCAAUCUUCUAACUUCAAUGGACUAUCCUCGACGCCUCCGCCCUCUCAGGUUAGGGUUUCGAUCGAACUCGUCGAUCAUUGCAUGCAGCUCCAUCGCUGAGACUGAUACCGAAACUUCUUCUACGGCAUCCAAUAGACCCGUCUCUAUCAAUCUGGUUUAUGUUCCCACGCCAACUAAUCAAGACACUCGAACUCCUCACAGCGGGAUCACAUAUCCAGUUGGUAUAUUGAGGAUCACGGUGUUCCAAAGUCAGCUGAGUUUGAGCAUUUGUGUUUCUGCUAUUCAUUUGUGGUUGGCAUUGUAGUUUUAUUGUCUCAAUUUAGUUUUAAAAUGAUUUCUUGCAAUAAAUGAGGAUUGAUAACCAUAGUAUCUGAAAGUUGUAUGUGUGCUAGAGUCCAUUUUGAGGAAAAAAGAAGAUGAGCAUUUCUUAGUUGUGGCUUCUUACUUUACCGAGAACAAAUAAGUUGUUUUGAGAUGUUCUGAGUCUCCCCAAGCUUCCCUCAGAGAAAAGGCUAACAAGGUAAAUAUCUCAGUCAACCCUCUGUUUUACUUUUAAUCAGAAAGAUGAAAAUAUCAUUUUUGUUAUGCUUUAAUGCCAGCCCAGAGCAUUGUUUUUGAUGGCAUGCUUGUAGGUUCUUUCUCAUUUCCCCCUUUGUUUUAUGUAGCAACUACAGUAAGUUCUCAUUCUGUAAACUAAUGUCAUGGGAAAUAAAGGAAAAUUGGACUAACUUAUGCUUAACAACUUGCUUUAGCGAUAUGGAAUUUUUUUUUUUUUUGAGGUUCACUUGAAAUGUUUUUUGUAUUUUGGUUUCAUGAUAAGUGUAGGAAGGCCAAUUGAGUUUCCAUCCUGUUUGAGUUCAUUAAGGUAUUGCAUUUAUUGAUUGCAUAUUUAUGCAAAUCUAAUGUGUUGUUUGUUGGUGCUUCUUUUAAAUAAUAUUAAUUAAAAAAUCUAGGAAACUACUAUUAUCUAUUAAUUAAAUUUUGGUUGCUGCUUCAUUUUUUCCCCUUAAACAUCAGUUCAGAGAAUUAAGACCCUUCAUUUUGAUCAGUCUUUUGUUUCCUCUCCAUUAUUAUUUAAGGACAGUUCCAUCUCUACCUUUUUCCUUGAACCUACAGAUUGAGAUAUUUUAAGAUGGCUCUCAAUUGAUGUCACAUUAUGUUAAAGUUCCCUUGUUUUGGUUUCUCUUCAGCAAAAUGACAGUAAUCAUGAUCUUCAUAUGAUAUUGUACUUCAAUCUUUAUUGCUUUAAAUUUUAUGAUCUAUGGUGCUCUCUGACUUUAAAAAGUUAUUAUUUACAUUGAAUACUAAUUUAAAGCUGGUAGGAUACAAUUUACUGAGUUAAUGAAAUAGAUGCCACAGUUGACAUAUAUAUAUUUGAUUAUUAAACAAGUAUUAGUGCUUUGAAUGGGGAACAACCUAGUGGUUUGGCAAGUACUUCAGAAAAGUUUUUGAAAGGUGAGACCACACCUGUUCAAAUGCCUGACCUGAUCGACACUGGUGAUCCAGAUGAUUACAAUGGACUAGAUAGUUCCACAAAAGAUCAAAAUGAUCAAAAUACUGCAGUACGGACAGCAACACCUCUUAUUGAUGACUUACUUGGAGAUGGUAUUAGUAUUAAUCUCAGCACCAGUGAACUGAAAAAUGAUGAUGAUCCCUUUGCAGAUGUCUCAUUUCACACUACUAAGGGAAGAAAAAAUGUGGAUGAUCUCUUCUCUGGGAUGAGUGUAGAUGACAAGUCAGCUAUGAGUGAUAAUUGUGUGACGUGCAUGCCCAUUUUUUGCAUGGAACACUUUUAAUUUAAUGAACAAUGAGACAAGGAACAUGAACGACCGUUUAUGUUAAUUUGUGGUUUGCCAUUUUUUUUGUAUGUGGGUUGGCUGGGUGCACUUACUCCUUUUAUCAAUUUCAUCUUAAGUACGUGUUUCACGUCUUAAGUGAAAGGUUGUAUGUGCUCUUUUUUUUUUGAGCUGGAAGUUUUCCUAUUUAUGGAAGUACUUCGAUCGGUAAAGAAAAAUUAUAUACAGAAGUAGAUUUAAAGAAACAA
RNA transcript from Gossypium raimondii (Peruvian cotton), 2273 nucleotides. RefSeq lists it as uncharacterized. The transcript has 2 exons. Lineage: Eukaryota; Viridiplantae; Streptophyta; Magnoliopsida; Malvales; Malvaceae. The record is from RefSeq and is a predicted model, not a curated record.